UCUAUACACUUCUUUUCUAUAGUCUGCACUUUUUUGUUAUUAUAUUCACUUAAACCUAUUUUAAUAUCAAGUUUUCUAUAUCCUUUCUUUUUUUUGAAAUACAUAAAUUAACAAUAGUCACAAUAUUAAAAUUUUAUAAAUAAUACAAAUAAAACAAUAAAUUGGUUAAACAUUAAGUAACGGAUAGAAUAUGGAGCGGACCGAAUACGGUAUCGA
This 216-nucleotide long non-coding RNA is filed under the name Oryza brachyantha (malo sina). RNAcentral's name for it is "long non-coding RNA (OBRA_LNC002656)". The record is from RNAcentral. Lineage: Eukaryota; Viridiplantae; Streptophyta; Magnoliopsida; Poales; Poaceae.